RNAcentral lists this ribosomal RNA (252 nucleotides) under uncultured Bacteroidales bacterium. RNAcentral's name for it is "partial 16S ribosomal RNA". It matches the Rfam family "Bacterial small subunit ribosomal RNA", at positions 524 to 776 of the family's 1533-position model. Lineage: Bacteria; Pseudomonadati; Bacteroidota; Bacteroidia; Bacteroidales. The record is from RNAcentral.
UACGGAGGAUGCGAGCGUUAUCCGGAUUUAUUGGGUUUAAAGGGUGCGUAGGCGGGCUGUUAAGUCAGCGGUCAAAUGUCGGGGCUCAACCCCGGCCUGCCGUUGAAACUGGCGUUCUUGAGUGGGCGAGAAGUACGCGGAAUGCGUGGUGUAGCGGUGAAAUGCAUAGAUAUCACGCAGAACCCCGAUUGCGAAGGCAGCGUACCGGCGCCCAACUGACGCUGAAGCACGAAAGCGUGGGUAUCGAACAGG